RNAcentral lists this ribosomal RNA (300 nucleotides) under uncultured Helicobacter sp. RNAcentral describes it as "partial 16S ribosomal RNA". The stretch from base 52 to 300 matches the Rfam family "Bacterial small subunit ribosomal RNA", at positions 547 to 795 of the family's 1533-position model. Lineage: Bacteria; Pseudomonadati; Campylobacterota; Epsilonproteobacteria; Campylobacterales; Helicobacteraceae. The record is from RNAcentral.
ACGAUCUGGGUGUCGUAGGCAGCAGUAGAGCGUAGGGGUGAGGCGGUGUCAGGAAGUAUUAGGCGUGAAGCGGGCGGAGGAGGGUUGUGUAGGCGGCUGUGAGUACCCGCGGCUCAGCCGUGGGCUUGCAGCCGAGACGGGGAGGUUGGAGUGCGGGAGGGGAGACGGGAAUUCCUGGUGUAGCGGUGGAAUGCGGAGAUAUCAGGAGGAGCACCGGUGGCGAAGGCGGGUCUCUGGGCCGAUACUGACGCUGAGGAGCGAAAGCGUGGGGAGCGAACAGGAUUAGAUACCCUUGUAGUC